Molecule: ribosomal RNA, 460 nt
Filed under: Enterobacter cloacae
Lineage: Bacteria; Pseudomonadati; Pseudomonadota; Gammaproteobacteria; Enterobacterales; Enterobacteriaceae
Description: bacterial SSU rRNA
Rfam family: Bacterial small subunit ribosomal RNA
Source: RNAcentral
AGAGAGCUUGCUCUCGGGUGACGAGUGGCGGACGGGUGAGUAAUGUCUGGGAAACUGCCUGAUGGAGGGGGAUAACUACUGGAAACGGUAGCUAAUACCGCAUAACGUCGCAAGACCAAAGAGGGGGACCUUCGGGCCUCUUGCCAUCAGAUGUGCCCAGAUGGGAUUAGCUAGUAGGUGGGGUAACGGCUCACCUAGGCGACGAUCCCUAGCUGGUCUGAGAGGAUGACCAGCCACACUGGAACUGAGACACGGUCCAGACUCCUACGGGAGGCAGCAGUGGGGAAUAUUGCACAAUGGGCGCAAGCCUGAUGCAGCCAUGCCGCGUGUAUGAAGAAGGCCUUCGGGUUGUAAAGUACUUUCAGCGGGGAGGAAGGUGNUGAGGUUAAUAACCUCAGCAAUUGACGUACCCGCAGAAGAAGCACCGGCUAACUCCGGCCAGCAGCCGCGNAAUACGGAG